Long non-coding RNA from Oncorhynchus tshawytscha (Chinook salmon), 538 nucleotides. Lineage: Eukaryota; Metazoa; Chordata; Actinopteri; Salmoniformes; Salmonidae. The record is from Ensembl.
GGUUAGGGUCAGAGGGAAGGGUCAGGGUCAGGGUCAGAGGGAAGGCUUAGGGUCAGAGGGAAGCGUCAGGGUCAGAGGGAAGGGUUAGGGUCAGAGGGAAGGGUUAGGGUCAGAGGGAAGGGUCAGGGUCAGAGGGAAGGCUUAGGGUCAGAGGGAAGGGUUGGGGUCAGAGGGAAGGCUUAGGGUCAGAGGGAAGGGUUAGGGUCAGAGGGAAGGGUUAGGGUCAGAGGAAGGGGUUAGGGUCAGGGUCAGAGGGAAGGGUCAGGGUCAGAGGGAAGGGUCAGGGUCAGAGGGAAGGGUUAGGGUCAGAGGGAAGGGUUAGGGUCAGAGGGAAGGGUUAGGGUCAGAGGGAAGCGUUAGGGUCAGGGUCAGAGGGAAGGGUCAGGGUCAGAGGGAAGGCUUAGGGUCAGAGGGAAGGCUUAGGGUCAGAGGAAGGGUUGGGGUCAGAGGGAAGGCUUAGGGUCAGAGGGAAGGGUUAGGGUCAGAGGGAAGGGUUAGGGUCAGAGGGAAGGGUUAGGGUCAGAGGGAAGGGUUAGGG